Molecule: long non-coding RNA, 5795 nt
Organism: Papaver somniferum (opium poppy)
Lineage: Eukaryota; Viridiplantae; Streptophyta; Magnoliopsida; Ranunculales; Papaveraceae
Exons: 12
Source: RefSeq, a predicted model, not a curated record
GGGCGAACCAAAUAUUGGGCGGGUUUACACCUCCAGCCUCCAGCCGAGCACUAGAUUUCUUCUUCUACAUACUGAUUUCUUUGGUUCUCCGGCACUGCCACCACCACCACCACCACCAUUACCACCAGAAUCUAUACCUUCAUCUACUUCUCCUUUUCAGUUGGUCGUGAAGGGAUGUGCUAAAUCUUUUGUAUGGUUCACAGAACUUCAAGAGGAAAAUAUCGUAGUUCUUCGAAGAGAGAGAACUACUACCAAGAAGAACAAAAGGUGUACCAAAAAUAAGAGGUACCGGAAGCAUCCGAGAGAACUCGGGUUAUAGUCAGAAGAUUAAUCUCAGUCUUUGAAAAAAAUGGGUUGACGACGAUAUCAAUACUAACAGAACUCGGGUUAUAUUCAAAAGUGAGUGGUGAAGUUGAUACCUUGAAAGUGGCUACAGACGAAGAAAAUGGUGUUAUUAUGGGAGCUUCAGGUCUGUUGAAACUAGAAAAACUUGAUCAGACAUAAACAAAGGGCAUAUGGAUCACAUUAUCAGAGAUAUGAGCAGGAUGAAGGAUCUAAUGGGACACUUAUUCAUGAUUACUCUUAUGAAGACAAAGAUGCAUGGGAUGAGGACCCAGAGCCUAUGAAAAUUUGGAAGGCAGGGUUGUAUCAGAAGGAAAAGAAGAAGGAAGAGUUGGUCAAUUAUGUGCAUCACAAGGAACAGCAACAACACUGCACCAUUGCGGUUUUAGGCCAACAUGGGUUGCACAACCAAAGUAGCAAAAUCUAAAAGAUUACCAAGAUGUAGGUGGUGAUGAGUGACGCAGCUGGAUAUAAUGGCAUGGCACCAGUUACAUGGAUAUGAUCUUGAUGAGUAUGGACCGGAUAAGAUAUGGUUAGAUUUACCGUCUUGGGUUUCAAUACUCAAUCACUUUAGUUGCCAAGGGUCACGAUAAGCAACCAUUGAUUAACCGAGGUCUCUUUUUCCAUAUUCUCCUCCACCACCACCAUCUACACCUGCAUUUGUGGCUGUAAUUGCAACUCUAACAUAACUCUUCUUACAUUUGAUUUGUGCUAAAUUAGUUUAUUUUGUGUUUUAGUAGAUCUAAUCAGUAGAUUCGUGAUCUCAGGCAAUUGCUGCUGUGAACUGAAAACAAACGAAACGAGUUCUGCAGGUGAAUUUUCAUCGUAUGGGUGCUUUGUUGUUAUUGUUUCUUCUUGGUAAGCAAUGCUAAUUCAAAUAAGACCAGAUGGGAUAACCACAUAUAUACUAAUUAUUGUAGCAAUUGAUCAUGUAAAGGAAUACUAAUUAGGGGUUCUUCGGUUGAUGGGGUAUUCUAUUAAUGUUAUGAAUGUUAUGAAUGCUGAUGUUCAUGAUUUGUUUAAUGUAAUUUGCAACCAUAAAAGAUAAAAGUAGACGACAUAUUUGUUUCUGCUCGCUCGGUGUUGUUGUAUGUUUAUGCUGGUAAGUUUCCGAGUUUUGGAGACAAUGUUUUAUUCUAUAUAGAAUGUUAUGUGAUUGGUUUACUCAUUUGAAAGUGUUGUGAUUUUUCUGCAGGUCCUGCUUGCUCAGUGAUGUCCUUUUUUAGUAAACAGCUGUAAUGAGAUAUCUAUGUGGUUUCUCUUUUCGAAAUGUUUAUAUAGGGUCAGUUAACAUUCAUUACAGUAUCUGAAAACAUAUUACGUCACAAAACUUGCUCACAGCCGAAUAUAACUGAAUUUAAUGCAAAUGAGUUUAGGCCAAGCAUGAUAACGUGAUGGUCCGAAGAUAGUGUGAAUAACCAAAACAUUAUGUGUGGUAUCAGCAAAUGGCAUUUUACAAUAGAUGCAUUUACUAUACCCAGACAACAGCUUCUUUCACCCUGAUAUGAGGCGUCGCGUUGUAUUCGCUUUCUUAGCUCAAAUGGCAGAGCACAAGGUUUUCACCAUGUAGUUGUGGGUUCGUCUCCCUCAGAUUACACAUGGUUUGCCGUCUUAAGGCAGACAUAGAUCACUAAGUGAAAGCUACGGCUAAAAUAAAAAAAAAAAUCCUGAAACAGGCAGUCUGCGGCGGGACAGCUAUGUGGUUUCCUAAACAGGGCAGUUUUGUGAAUAGGUGCGAGGAGUUCAGAGAUCAAGAUUUAAUUUUCGUUUGUUCAGGUUUGGUUUCGUAUAUCUUAGAGAAAUCAGGAAAUAUACUUUGAGGUUUAGCACUUUUUACUAGAAAUAGAGAAGUUAAGAUUUAACUUUCGUCCUGCAUGAAUUUUGCGGGUCUCAGUUCCUUAGAUUGAUAUAGCUCUGUCAUGUGGGAUGUAUCUCAAAACUGUAGGUUUACCAUAGGAAUGACAAAGUUGGUGUGUCUGGAUUUGAUGUUUCAGUUCCGUCCUAUGAAAAUUCUUUGUAUUAUUCACCUGAUUCACUACCAUAGUUUGAUGUUGCAGAGCUAAUACUGUGGUGAUUAAUUUCACUCUUUAAAAGACGACCUUGAAUGUAAUUCAAAGAGCUGCAUCCAGUAAGUAAGCAAAAAAUUGUUUUUAUUGAUGGUCAUUCACUGUCAUAGAUUCCCAGGUUGAUAAGUAAGUGUAUGUGGUUGAGCUAUGUGUAUAUUUUACUACCGAUGCAUCCCGUGUUCUGCUAAGGAGGCUCCAUUGUGAUUACCAAGCAAUUCAACUAGCCAGGAUUGAGGUUGCAAGGUAGGACUUGCAUCAUAGCAGGCAUUUCUCUUCAAUGAUAGGAGGUGUGUUUUAUGUUUUGUGCUUUAUUUUUAUUUUUUAUUACGUUGGUCUUUUAUAGGCGUUCCUAAUGAGCCACAACACUAUCAGAAUGUAUAACUACAGAGGGAGAAAUGCCGCCCCUGACUGAACUUGGUUAGCAUUUGUACAUCUAAGGUUCACUGCAUUGUAAAGCAUAUCCUGUGAGAUGUAUUAUUGCUAAACCAAUUCGAGCUAGGAAAACCAAUACUACUAUUCCAGUUUGUUAUUGCUGCUUGGGUAGCUUCAAGUAAAGGUAAAAACAGUCAUGUGUUUUUUUUUUGUAUGUGGUGGCCAUGGAUGGAGGAUCUUGAUUCCUGAAGAUGAUGGCAUAAGAUGAAUGUUGGACAUAUAGUCUUAUGAAAGGUGACUCUUAAUGAGGUUUGAUGCUAUUGAGGAUUUAGCCUGCGCAAUUGAGCGGAGAUAAUGAAGUCGUUGAGAAUAUCAGUAAACAAACCAAAAAGGUAGGAUAUAUUUUCCUAUUCAUAUAAGCACACGGCAGAAGUCAAGGGGUUAUGUUAAAAGACAUGGAAGAAAUUCGAAUAAUGCAUUCGGUGGUCAUGGAAGGUAGAAUAACACAGUCCGAUAGUUACGUUCCUGCUUUUACUCAUGGGAAAGUAAGUAAUCACAUUUCUUUUUUCUUAGGAGUUUCCAAAAUAAAAUAACAAUUUUUUUUUUAAUUUUAUUGCUAGAUAAUAGUAACCUUUAGCAGCUCAAUGUGGUUCUUGCUCAAGGAGCAGAUCGAAUUAAAAUAGAUGCAGCGUGGUAAGCCAAAACAAUUACAAACCAUGAACAAAGUUAUGCUGCCCUUAUUCUGAAGAAUCCGGUAUUAGAAUUUAUAUAAUUUGGCAUUAACUCUUGCCCAAUAUGGAGCCCAAUAUGGAAAGAGUAAUUCGUAUAUGUGAUUUUUUCAUUGUUAAUCAAAAUUCCAAAAUUAUUAACGUGCAAGUGAAUAUUUGCUAUCAUGUUUUAACUUUUUUAUAUGCUUCAAUUGAUGCAUAAGCAGUUCUUGACAGGGUUACUUGAAGUUAACUUGAAAUUGUAAACUCCAUUCGCCUAUUAUUGAUGCAUGGGUGAAAUUUGCAGGAGCAUUCCAUAAGCUAUAGCAUUAAAGUGGAAGCAUGGAGCAUGUGCAGCAUUGCUAAACCCCUUCGUUGGCUGAGCCUUUGGUCUGGCCUUCUCCAUUGAAGUUUAUCAGUAAGCUGAAUCUAGAUGCUAAAGUCCUGUUAGAAGGGGAACUUAUCCCCACCAGCUAAUGAUACUGGCAGCAAUGUCUCUGAGGUGAGUUUUUCCUCUUUCCCUUUAUGUUAAUUUUGAACUUAAAUGAUAAACCUUCCAUUGACAGUAUACGCGUCUAUAUUUGAUUCUUUUACAGCAUCGACAAUAUAAAAAAUACAGACGAACUGUUGCCGUUCUUUUGCAGCAUCGAAAAAUAGAAGUACCGACAAAUUCCAUAGAUGAUUUUAUUAACGUCACCAAUACUGGAGACUGUCUUAAUUUUUCUUAACCAGAAAUAAUAAAUUUUGGACAUACGGGUGAAAAAAUCAUGUUGUUGUGGAGUAGUUAGGAGCUUAAUGUCUGAAAAAUUAAAUAUCAUUGUUCAUCUUCAGCCUGACGUGUCAGCAUUACCCAAACUGGAUAAAUGCUAUUCUCAAAAUUUCAACUGUUUGACAAUUCAAUUAAAUUAUCUCCUGCUUCACUUUAUAAAUUCAAUUUUUUGUAGUGUGAUAUGGGUGUACAUCGAGAGAAGUCCAAGUUAUUCGGUUUGUUUCAGGGGAACUUGAUAGGAUGAGUUGUUCUUGAAUUUUGUGAUGGAGGUCUGUCGGUAAGAUUUCUAUAUCACUUCACAGCAUCAGCAACGGAACUUAAGUCACAGCUUCAAUGAUGGAGGCUGUUUAAGCUAUUCCAGGAUACUCUUCUUUGCUUUAAUCUAAUUAUGCUUCUGCCUAUUACAGAUGAGUUAUAUUAACAGUAGUUCAUGCAACUCUAUGCCACUUUUGAGGAUGAUAGAACCUGUGCAGAUUUUUUCACUUCUUUUCCCUGCGGUACUGUAAGCAUGAAUUUGGUUAAGGAUUUGUGACACAUUUAAUCUAUGACAUCAGAAGGACAGGCUUUGGUUUGUCUAUGUAAUACUGAUUUUCUUAUCCCACCAGGUUAAGGUUUCAGAGCAGCAUUUUCCCCCUUAAUUUCUUUUACAAUAUUAAUAGGUCCAUUUAUGACAAGCUAAAAUGUGGAAGAGUCCUAGGGCAGUUAUGACAAGCUAAAAUGCAUUAUCAAGCAGAUGCGGAAGUGCAAGGCAUUUUUCAUCGCUCAUGCCCCAUGCAGCCUUCCAGAUCACAAACGUUCUAUGGCAGCUAAAAUAAAGUGAUCAAGUGAGAAGUAAGAGAGAAUCGAAAGUCUGCAUUGGAGGUAAACUUUCUACAAGAUGAUAAGUGGGAAUAAAGUAAAAGUGACAGAGGAAGUUGUGCCGGUAAUAACUGGAUCAGCAGAAGCUCCAUCAGAUUCGAAUGAUCCUAUGUGGCGGUACUAGAGCGAGCUAAGAGGCGGAGUCAGAUUACUGAGGAGAUAGAGCACAAGAGAUUUAAAGAUUCAAUCAUAGAUGUGGGCGAGGAAUGCGAUUGGGAUUGUGCGGGGAACGAAUAUUUAUCAUGGAUUUGACUGUAUUUUAGCUAAUAUCUUGGAGAGUCUUGAGAAAGACAUCAAUGAUUCUAAUUUGUUGUCAGUUGGAUGUUUUUGUAUGUUAUGUACACGUCUAUGGUAUCAUCCGGUUCAACAACACUUUCGUUUGCAUAUUUCGUGAUGUAGUUUUUAGGACGGGUUCACUCUCCAAUUUCUGAUAAAGCGUUCACUCUAAACUUUAUUCAUAAAGUUUUUAAGAAUUUCAAAGUGCAUGUGUUGGUUGUAUCUCAUUGGCAUGUAAAAGAGCUGGCUCCUUGGCCUUGCCAUUCAGGUGUUACAAGUUCUUUUGGUAGUUGUAUGACUAAAUUAGCUUUCAAGUUAUAGAGGAACUCAAGGGACAUGUAAGAAAUAUAAGGUCAUUCAUUGCAUUAACAUUUACUCGGUAAUCAAUGCUUUUGUAUGCUGCAU